ACAAGCGGAGGAGCAUGUGGUUAAUUCGAUGAUACGCGAGGAACUACCUGGGCUCGAACGUAAGAUGACUGUAGGUGAAAGCUUACAUCUCUUCGGAGCAUUUUACGAGGUGCUGCAUGGUUGUCGUCAGCUCGUGCCGUGAGGUGUCGGGUUAAGUCCCAUAACGAGCGCAACCCCUACCUUAGUUGCCAUCAGGUUAAGCUGGGGACUCUAAAGGAACUGCCUACGCAAGUAGUGAGGAAGCGGGGAUGACGUCAAAUCAGCACGGCCCUUACGCCCAGGGCUACACACGUGCUACAAUGGCCGAUACAGAGGGCAGCUACCUGGUGACAGGAUGCAAAUCUCCAAAGUCGGUCUCAGUUCGGAUCGGAGUCUGCAACCCGACUCCGUGAAGUUGGAUUCGCUAGUAAUCGCGCAUCAGCCAUGGCGCGGUGAAUACGUUCCCGGGCCUU
Molecule: ribosomal RNA, 452 nt
Filed under: uncultured Sphingobacteriales bacterium
Lineage: Bacteria; Pseudomonadati; Bacteroidota; Sphingobacteriia; Sphingobacteriales
Description: bacterial SSU rRNA
Rfam family: Bacterial small subunit ribosomal RNA
Source: RNAcentral